RNAcentral lists this long non-coding RNA (1010 nucleotides) under Fukomys damarensis (Damara mole-rat). RNAcentral's name for it is "lncRNA (ENSFDAG00000030138.1)". Lineage: Eukaryota; Metazoa; Chordata; Mammalia; Rodentia; Bathyergidae. The record is from RNAcentral.
CCUUGGGGGACACUUGGUCCAAUAGCUUCAUUUUGUAGGUGGUAAAACCAAAUCCCACAGACACAGAAUUAUUCCUGGUCACACCGAGCUCUGUCCUUACGAACUGCACUUUGAGUUAAACCAUAACAACUAGAUUUGUGGGUCUUUACAGUUGAUUUACAUUUACUGCUGCAAGUGAUUUCUCAGCCCUGCUCUGAACAAACACAGAUGAGAGAUAGACCAGAGGCAGCAGCCUGCCCUCUUCCCUGCCGUGUGGCCGGAGGACUGUCCCUGGAGUCACUCACUGCCAAGGGCUAGGGCAGGAUCUGAUUCCAGACACUUACCAGCGGGUCACAAAAGCCAAGGCACCAUCAGCUCUUCUGACUCCCCGGGGACCGGCGCCAAGUCUCCAGGUGCCCGGAGCUGGCAGGUGGAUGCUUUGUCAAAUGUCGGGCCCCAUGUUCAGAGCGGAGGGUGGGGAGGGAAGGGAGAGUGAAGGCAGCUACAGCUGGUCUUUCUCCAGAUGGAGAAAGUAUGCAGGGUGCUUAUGUCCUGGUUAUCUAACAAGUCUUUUCUCUGAAGUGGCCUCCAGCCUGGGAGCAGUGGCGACCCGGCAGCUCUCCCAUUAGGGGGCGGACUUCAGAGGGGGCUCUCUGCAGGCCCCACCCUCUCCACGCCCCGCCUGCCACUAUUCCUUGGGAGCUGCCAGGAACAGGAAGGGUGGGACCUUAGUCUUCACUUCAAAGACUGUCUGGCUUCCCCGUGAUGCUCGUGCUUUGCUAAGCAUUGGUGGCCAUCAAAGUUUUUGCAUCCUGGGGACGAAUCCUGAACUCACCAGAGACGGGCGGCGCAAGGUCCGGGCUCUGUUUCCCUGCGAGAAGCCGCCUCGGCCCACCGAGAUGUCCCGGCACCACAGCCGCUUCGAGAGAGAUUACCGGGUCGGCUGGGACCGCCGUGAGUGGAGCGUCAACGGCACCCAUGGCACCGCCAGCGCCUGCAGCGUCACCUCGGGAGCCGGGGGCGGCACCGCC